AUCUCUAUUCUCUCAGAAGGUGUUUAUACGGUAAACUCGUGUCCGUAUCUCUAUUCUCUCAGAAGGUGUUUAUACGGUAAACUCGUGUCCGUAUCUAUUCUCUCAGAAGGUGUUUAUACGGUAAACUCGUGUCCGUAUCUCUAUUCUCUCAGAAGGUGUUUAUACGGUAAACUCGUGUCCGUAUCUCUAUUCUCUCAGAAGGUGUUUAUACGGUAAACUCGUGUCCGUAUCUCUAUUCUCUCAGAAGGUGUUUAUACGGUAAACUCGUGUCCGUAUCUCUAUUCUCUCAGAAGGUGUUUAUACGGUAAACUCGUGUCCGUAUCUCUAUUCUCUCAGAAGGUGUUUAUACGGUAAACUCGUGUCCGUAUCUCUAUUCUCUCAGAAGGUG
Long non-coding RNA from Xyrauchen texanus (razorback sucker), 388 nucleotides. RefSeq lists it as uncharacterized. The record is from RefSeq and is a predicted model, not a curated record. The transcript has 4 exons. Lineage: Eukaryota; Metazoa; Chordata; Actinopteri; Cypriniformes; Catostomidae.